CUUAACACAUGCACGUCGAGCGAUGAAGUUUCUUCGGAAAUGGAUUAGCGGCGAACGGGUGAGGAACACGUGAAGAAUCUGCCCUCCACUUUGGGAUAACACAGGGAAACCUGUGCUAAUACCGAAUAUUGAAACAUAAGUGGCAUCACUGAGUUUUGAAAGAAUUUCGGUGGAGGAUGACUUCGCGGCCUAUCAGCUAGUUGGUGAGGUAAUGGCUCACCAAGGCAACGACGGGUAGCCGGCCUGAGAGGGCGACCGGCCACACUGGGACUGAGACACGGCCCAGACUCCUACGGGAGGCAGCAGUGGGGAAUAUUGGGCAAUGGAGGAAACUCUGACCCAGCGACGCCGCGUGCGGGAUGAAGGCCUUCGGGUUGUAAACCGCUUUCAGUAGGGAAGAAGCGAAAGUGACGGUACCUACAAAAGAAGCACCGGCUAACUAUGUGCCAGCAGCCGCGGUAAUACAUAGGGUGCAAGCGUUGUCCGGAAUUAUUGGGCGUAAAGAGCUCGUAGGUCGUUUGUUACGUCGGAUGUGAAAACCUGAGGCUCAACCUCAGGCCUGCAUUCGAUACGGGCAAACUAGAGUUUGGUAGGGGAGACUGGAAUUCCUGGUGUAGCGGUGGAAUGCGCAGAUAUCAGGAGGAACACCAAUGGCGAAGGCAGGUCUCUGGGCCAAUACUGACACUGAGGAGCGAAAGUCUGGGGAGCGAACAGGAUUAGAUACCCUGGUAGUCCAGACCGUAAACGGUGGGCACUAGUUGUGGGGACCUUCCACGGUUUCUGCGACGCAGCUAACGCAUUAAGUGCCCCGCCUGGGGAGUACGAUCGCAAGAUUAAAACUCAAAGGAAUUGACGGGGCCCCGCACAAGCAGCGGAGCAUGCGGCUUAAUUCGACGCAACGCGAAGAACCUUACCAAGGCUUGACAUAUAGGGAAAAGUGGCAGAGAUGUCAUGUCCGCAAGGGCCCUAUACAGGUGGUGCAUGGUUGUCGUCAGCUCGUGUC
Molecule: ribosomal RNA, 1003 nt
Filed under: uncultured bacterium
Lineage: Bacteria
Description: bacterial SSU rRNA
Rfam family: Bacterial small subunit ribosomal RNA
Source: RNAcentral